AUGAAUUGCUUUCCUUUGAUGUCAUGCUGUGUGUUGCUAUGCGCCAUUCGGCUGCUUGGAGAGCUCCUAAGCUCCCCGUGUAUCUUUCCCAUUUGUGCUGUUCAUGCUACAACCCCAUUCAGUGGACCUUUAAGUUAUCUUAUGAUUAGUUCGCUUUCCCUUGCUAGCUGGAACAUGAGGGGGUUGAACAACCGAGUGCGUCGGGCUGCAGUUCGCGCCAUGCUGGAUCAGCUUUCAUGCUCGAUCAUCUGUUUACAGGAAUCGAAGCUUGUGGCUGUUGUCGUUGCGGACAUUCGGGAGAUCACCGGGCCUGCUUUUGAUUGCCAUGCUGCUCUUUUAGCGGAGGGCACCCGUGGCGGCGUGCUACUUUGCUGGCGCUCCAGCAAUGUUACCGCGUCCGCAAUUGUUAUCCGCACCUUUUCGAUCACGACUACUUUUUUGACGGAGGGGCUAACCACGCCUUGGUCGCCGACCAUCGUGUAUGGGCCGCAUGACUGCGCGCGUAAGCAGGCAUUUUUGAAUGAGCUUGCAGAUAUUCACAACUCCAUGUCGGGGCCGUGGAUGCUGAUUGGGGACUUCAACCUGAUCACGGACCCAACUGACAAGAACAACGAUCGUAUUUGUAGACGCUGGAUGAAUAAAUUUCGGCGAACACUGAACAGAUCGAACCUCCACGAAAUGCCUUUGAUUGGUAGGAAGUAUACUUGGAGCAACGAACAGUCCCCGCCAACGCUUGUUUGUCUCGACCGUGCCUUCUCCAAUGUAGAUUGGGAGCUUCUAUUCCCGGUAGCCAAGCUACUGCCACAAGCUUCUUCUAUCUCCGACCAUUGUCCGUUGAUGCUCCGAAAUGAUGCAACGCUGAAAACCAACAAGAGGUUCCGGUUCGAAGCCUACUGGCAGUACAUUGGAGGCUUCAAGGAGCUGGUUGGCCAAUCCUGGGCUGAAUCGAUUGGUGGUAGAUCGCCCCUUGCCGCUCUGGAUUUCAAGCUUUGGCGGCUGAGCAAAGCUCUGUGGGCCUGGAGCAAAACCAUCGCCGGUGACAUUCAAAUGCAGAUGAAUGUGGUCAAUGAAAUCAAUCUUCAGUUAGAUGCAGCACAAGACUACAGAAGUCUAUCUAUGGAUGAAAGCAACCUGCGUGCAAAGCUUAAAUCAAGAUCUUUGGGGCUAGCUGUUCUGUUGAAAAUCAAGGUGCGACAAAGGAGUCGUGUCCUCUGGUUGAAGGCAGGGGAUGCCAACACGCGUUUUUUCCAGCGUAAAGCAAACGCAAGACAUAGAAAGAACACCAUCCAUUUGCUUCACGGGCCUGAUGGGAUGGUCUCGAGUACUGAUGCCAUGACGGAUUUAGCCUACAAGCAUUUCAAGAACAUUCUUGGUACAUCUCAAGGUGUCUCCUCCACUUUGGAUUGGGACACAUUGGAUCUGGACCAGACAGAUUUGUCAGAUAUUGAGGGAGAAUUUUCCUUGGAUGAGGUGAAGCUGGCCAUUGACGAUAUGCCGUCGGACAAGGCACCCGGCCCGGAUGGUUACAAUGCUGGCUUCUAUAAGCAUUGCUGGGACAUUAUCAAGCUGGAUGUGGUAGCGGCCUUGAAUCAACUCCACCGCAUGGAUAGUAGAGGGUUGGCACGAGUGAACAAGGCUUGCAUUGUGCUUAUCCCCAAGAAGCAUGGUGCUGACAAUCUAUCAGACUUUCGGCCCAUCUCACUUCUGCACAGCCUUGUUAAGAUUUUCACAAAACUGCUUGCUCGUCGCCUAGCUCCAAAGCUGCCGGAUCUAGUUGACCUUUCCCAAAGUGCUUUCAUUAAGUACUACAGUAUUCAGGAAAACUUCCUGUACGUCCAAAACACGAUCAGAUAUCUGCACAAGAUGAAGAAGCCUGCAAUCCUUCUUAAAUUAGAUAUCACAAAGGCAUUUGAUUCUGUAGCUUGGGAAUACAUCCUUGAUAUGCUUCAGGCUCGGGGUUUUGGUUCUCGUUGGAGGACUUGGAUUGCUAUGCUCCUGCGCACAUCCUCAUCUCGUGUGCUCAUCAAUGGCCAGCUCUCAGAGGAGAUUAUCCAUCGCAAGGGCCUCCGGCAAGGGGACCCAAUUUCACCGUUCUUGUUUAUUCUGACGAUGGACCCGCUACAACGUAUGAUGAGGAUGGCCACGGAGGAGGGUGUGCUUUUGAAGCUACCUAGUCGGCGACACCUUAUGCGCUGCUCUUUUUAUGCGGAUGACGUUGCAUUAUUCAUUAACCCCUCCGCAAGGGAUGCGCGAAUGGUCAAGCUGCUUCUUGACUGCUUCGCCUCGGUGUCGGGCCUUCGCACCAACACCGACAAGAGCUCGGAUCUUCCAAUCCGCUGCUUUGCUUUGAAUCUGCACCACAUCUUGGCGCUGCUUGGGAUCCCAUUAAAGCAUUUCCCAACUUCAUACCUUGGGAUGCCGCUAUCUUUGAGAACUCUGACCAAGAUUGAUCUAGAACCUUUUGUCCUCAAGUUCGGAAAAAGAAUGUCCUGCUGGAAAGGUGGCAUGAUGGCCAAGAGCAGUCGGCUUGUUCUUCUCCGAUCUAACCUGGCUUCCCUUGCGGUGUACAUGAUGACCGUGCAUCGUCUGCCGAAGUGGGUUAUCAAAAGAUUGAUACAGCUAUGCCGGGCUUGGCUGUGGAGUGGAGAGAGCGUCUGCAAUGGCGGACAGUGUCGCGUGGCCUGGAGUUUGCUCUGCCGACCGAAGCAUCUUGGAGGAUUGGGGGUUAUGGAUUUUGCUAAAUUUGGCAGAGCAUUGCGCCUGCGUUGGAUGUGGCUAGCUUGGCAAGUCCCUGUCAGGCCUUGGGCGCAAGGCCCGCUGCCAUGCGAUGACACUGAUAAGGCGCUCUUUUCCAUGGCAACUACUAUUGUCCUGGGUGAUGGCGCACGUACCAAAUUCUGGCAUGAUCGUUGGCUUAAUGGCCAGUGCCCAAAGUCCAUUGCGCCAACUCUCUACAAAAUCUCCACUCGCAAAAACAGAACAGUCAAAGAGGCCAUGGAAAAUUAUGUUUGGUUGACUGAUCUGGCUAAUGGACUAACGGAAGAAAUGAUGCAUCAGCUAACCACCUUGGCUUCCUUGCUGGAUGAGAUUGAGCUACAACAGGACCAACCGGAUGCAAUUACUUGGCGGCUAUCUUCUGAUGGGAAAUAUUCUGCUAGCUCCGCCUAUUUGCUCCAGUUUGCGGGAUUGAUUCCCAUGGAUGGAUUCCAACUAAUCUGGUCUCCUUGGGCGCCGGGGAAAUGCCGCUUUUUCAUUUGGACAACCAUCCUGAGCAAAAUUCUCAUGGCAGAUGUGCUUCUUCGUCGCAGAUGGGAAAACAAUUAUUUCUGCCCUUUAUGUGAGCGCAGCUUGGAGACAUCUUACCACCUUCUCGUGGACUGCCCUUGGUCCAAGGACAUUUGGGACUCGGUAGCCUCGGCUUCGAAUUCUCCGCCGCUGCGACCGACUGCAUGGAGCGGAUGCACGGACAUUAAGGAUUGGAUGAGCAGAUGCUUUCAUCUUGCCCCAGCGGCAACAAAGAAGAGUACCCUCUCACUCAUUCAGCUCAUUGCAUGGGAAAUUUGGAGAGAAAGGAAUCGGCGUCUGUUUCAACAGGAGGCUAUGCACAAAACAGCUCUUGUUCGCAAGAUUAAAGAUGAAAUCAGGCUCUGGAAUAUGGCCGGCGCUGGCAUCCCUUUUGACCCUGGUUGA
RNAcentral lists this ribosomal RNA (3690 nucleotides) under Triticum aestivum (bread wheat). RNAcentral describes it as "partial small subunit ribosomal RNA". Lineage: Eukaryota; Viridiplantae; Streptophyta; Magnoliopsida; Poales; Poaceae. The record is from RNAcentral.